GAUGAACGCUAGCGGGAGGCCUAACACAUGCAAGCCGAGCGGUAUUUGUCCUUCGGGACCGCGAGAGCGGCGUACGGGUGCGGAACACGUGUGCAACCUGCCUUUAUCUGGGGGAUAGCCUUUCGAAAGGAAGAUUAAUACCCCAUAAUAUAUCGAAUGGCAUCAUUCGAUAUUGAAAACUCCGGUGGAUAGAGAUGGGCACGCGCAAGAUUAGAUAGUUGGUGAGGUAACGGCUCACCAAGUCAGUGAUCUUUAGGGGGCCUGAGAGGGUGAUCCCCCACACUGGUACUGAGACACGGACCAGACUCCUACGGGAGGCAGCAGUGAGGAAUAUUGGACAAUGGGUGAGAGCCUGAUCCAGCCAUCCCGCGUGAAGGACUAAGGCCCUAUGGGUUGUAAACUUCUUUUAUACUGGGAUAAACCUACUUACGUGUAAGUAGCUGAAGGUACAGUAUGAAUAAGCACCGGCUAACUCCGUG
This 479-nucleotide ribosomal RNA is filed under the name uncultured bacterium. RNAcentral describes it as "partial 16S ribosomal RNA". It matches the Rfam family "Bacterial small subunit ribosomal RNA", at positions 28 to 507 of the family's 1533-position model. The record is from RNAcentral.